AGCUGGGCUUGUUCAGCCUGUAGAAGAGAAGGCUGCGAGGAGAUCUCAUUGUGGCCUUCCAGUACCUAAACAGAGCAUAUAAGCAAGAAGGGGGACCACCUUUUUACACAGUCUGAUAGUGAUGGGACAAUGGGGAAUGGCUUUGAACUAAAAUAAGAGGUGCAGGAGAGGGCUGACAAAAAACUCCUCUUCCUGUGCCUCUGUGCAAUGUCCUGGGCAGUUCUAUUGAAUGUUAUCAUCUCUGCUGGGCAUGCUCCUGUCAGUCUUACACAUGGAUACUCUUUUUACCUUUGUCUUAGCUCUACCAAACCUACGAAGCUGUAUUUGCAAGGAAAAUUGAAGAGUCUGAGAAAUGUGAAGCAACACAUCAUGCUUUUGAGAUAACUGGGCACCAACCACCUGAAGGUAGAUUUCUUUCCAUGAAGAACUACAGAAAUCAUGAUUUCGUCCCAGUGUGGGAGACGUUUGAAAAUGCAUACUUUGAAAUGUAUGAGUAUUGGUCAGAAAAGCCACUCCAUCCGUUGCUAUAAUCACAUCACUAGACUUGGAACAAGAUGAACUCACUUUCAUAAUGGUUGC
Molecule: long non-coding RNA, 579 nt
Organism: Gallus gallus (chicken)
Lineage: Eukaryota; Metazoa; Chordata; Aves; Galliformes; Phasianidae
Source: Ensembl